UACGUAGGGGGCUAGCGUUGUUCGGAAUUACUGGGCGUAAAGCGCGCGUAGGCGGUGAUCUUUGUCAGAGGUGAAAAUCCCGAGGCUCAACUUCGGAAUUGCCUUUGAAACGGGAUCGCUUGAGUCCGAGAGAGGAUGGCGGAAUUCCUAGUGUAGAGGUGAAAUUCGUAGAUAUUAUGAAGAACACCGGUGGCGAAGGCGGCCAUCUGGCUCGGUACUGACGCUCAGGCGCGAAAGCGUGGGGAGCAA
Molecule: ribosomal RNA, 249 nt
Filed under: uncultured bacterium
Lineage: Bacteria
Description: partial 16S ribosomal RNA
Rfam family: Bacterial small subunit ribosomal RNA
Source: RNAcentral